CUCGUUUCUCGUCCUUUUGGCUCUGAUCAUGCGUAGUGUCUAUUUUUAUCAAUUUAAUAUCUGAUAGUCUCCAAAUCGGAUACCAUAUAUUAAUUUGAUUUUUGGAAGAAGGAUACGUACAAAGGGCUUGCUUUGUGCUCUACACGCACCAUCCUGGUAUUUCAGUGUGUCCAGGCUUGGUUCAUCUUCC
This is a small nuclear RNA of Poecilia formosa (Amazon molly), 190 nucleotides long. Its record names the gene U2. It matches the Rfam family "U2 spliceosomal RNA". Rfam says of the family: U2 is a small nuclear RNA (snRNA) component of the spliceosome (involved in pre-mRNA splicing). Complementary binding between U2 snRNA (in an area lying towards the 5' end but 3' to hairpin I) and the branchpoint sequence (BPS) of the intron results the bulging out of an unpaired adenosine, on the BPS, which initiates a nucleophilic attack at the intronic 5' splice site, thus starting the first of two transesterification reactions that mediate splicing. The record is from Ensembl. NCBI's taxonomy places the organism in Eukaryota, Metazoa, Chordata, Actinopteri, Cyprinodontiformes, Poeciliidae.